Cyprinus carpio (common carp) is the source of this 1139-nucleotide long non-coding RNA. The record is from Ensembl. Lineage: Eukaryota; Metazoa; Chordata; Actinopteri; Cypriniformes; Cyprinidae.
CUGACCAGCAUUUAAAAGAAGAAAAGUGAAGGUAUCUUUUAUUACAGAACUACAUACACAUACAAAUUUUGAGCUGUAAAGAUCUAUUAUAUUAAAGAUUUAUAGAUCUAAAGAGUUUAUAUUAUUGAUGACAAAUUGCUUAACAGCCAAGGUUAUUAUAGUUAACUAAAACCAUCAAAAAAUAGAAAUAAAAUAAAAAGCAUUUCAUAUUUUCAUUUAUUUUUAAUCAAUUUUAGUAAUUAAAGAACUAAAAUGGAUAAAAAUGAAAUUAAAAUAAAAACUAUAAACAUUUUAAAAACAACUUUAAAAUAAAGUAAAUAAAAUAUAUAUAGAUGCAUUUAAAAAUGUGUAAAAUGACAAAACNUUGCUGUAAUAAAAGGGUCACAUUAUAAUCUGGGAUAUUUAUGUCAAGGUAAGCAAAUAAAUUGUAAAAAUAAAAUGUGUAAAAAAGUUUAUUUUUUUUGCCUUUUCAUUUUUAGAAAAUUAUUAGCUAAUGCCUCACGGCUUCAAGACAUGCAGAGAGUUUAACUUACAAAUAAUGAUACGUGUUUUAAAAACUACAUUAACCUUUUCCGUCGUACGUUUGAAAACGAAUCCCAAUGAUUGUAAUUCAGGAUAUUUACAAUUAGGCCUGAAAUCCGGUUAUUGAAAUCGCUUUUGGUUCUGCAUACAAAAGGAAUUAAAGCGAAAGUAAAAGCCGAGCGAGUUUAGGGCACAAAUGAAUCAUGGGAAAACAGCGUCUGACGUCUUUCCAAAAAAACGCCCGAGAUCGUCCUCAGCGAACCCUGUUCGAAGAAAAAGAAAAGAAAGGAAACCGUUCGACUUCAGGCCAAUUCUUCACUAGUCACAUGACCUUCAUCGCCGAUACCAAAACACGUCACAAACACACAACCGAAAACCUACUAGCUUCUUGUACCUUUCAAACUGUUACACUACUUUUAACGACGUCUGGUGACAAAAAGAAGAAAAUGAGCAGCUCUAAUUCGACACGGCGCUCUACACAAAUCACUAAAACUGGAAGAGCGGAGAGAAAUUACGUCACAAUCUUUGUUCCCGGCAGCGAGUUUCACCACCAAGGCACCGUUAGCUCUCGAGUUCUGGCACGUUUAAUAUAUUUGACACGCCAAAGAAAAAUCUAA